Molecule: ribosomal RNA, 440 nt
Filed under: uncultured bacterium
Lineage: Bacteria
Description: partial 16S ribosomal RNA
Rfam family: Bacterial small subunit ribosomal RNA
Source: RNAcentral
CCUACGGGAGGCAGCAGUGGGGGAUAUUGCACAAUGCGGGGAACACUGAUGCAGCGACGCCGCGUGGGUGAAGAAGCGCCUCGGCGCGUAAAGCCCUGUCAGCAGGGAAGAAAAUGACUGUACGUGAAGGAGAAGCCCCUGCUAACUACGUGCCAGCCGCCGCGGUAAUACGUAGGGGGCAAGCGUUAUCCGGAUUUACUGGGUGUAAAGGGGGCGCAGACGGCGGUGCAAGCCAGGAGUGAACGCCUGGGGCCCAACCUCGGGACUGCGAUUGGAGCUGCGUGGCUGGAGUGCAGGAGGGGCAGGCGGAAUUCGUGGUGUAGCGGUGAAAUGCUUAGAUAUCACGAAGAACUCCGAUUGCGAAGGCAGCUUACUAACCGGCCACUGACAGUGAUGCUCGAAAGUGUGGGUAGCAAACAGGAUUAGAUACCCGAGUAGUC